UAGGGAAUCUUCCGCAAUGGGCGAAAGCCUGACGGAGCAACGCCGCGUGAGUGAUGAAGGUCUUCGGAUCGUAAAACUCUGUUAUUAGGGAAGAACAAAUGUGUAAGUAACUAUGCACGUCUUGACGGUACCUAAUCAGAAAGCCACGGCUAACUACGUGCCAGCAGCCGCGGUAAUACGUAGGUGGCAAGCGUUAUCCGGAAUUAUUGGGCGUAAAGCGUGCGUAGGCGGUUUUUUAAGUCUGAUGUGAAAGCCCACGGCUCAACCGUGGAGGGUCAUUGGAAACUGGAAAACUUGAGUGCAGAAGAGGAAAGUGGAAUUCCAUGUGUAGCGGUGAAAUGCGCAGAGAUAUGGAGGAACACCAGUGGCGAAGGCGACUUUCUGGUCUGUAACUGACGCUGAUGUGCGAAAGCGUGGGGAUCAAACAGG
This 429-nucleotide ribosomal RNA is filed under the name Actinomycetes bacterium. RNAcentral's name for it is "Actinobacteria bacterium partial 16S ribosomal RNA". It matches the Rfam family "Bacterial small subunit ribosomal RNA", at positions 355 to 776 of the family's 1533-position model. The record is from RNAcentral. Lineage: Bacteria; Bacillati; Actinomycetota; Actinomycetes.